This 887-nucleotide ribosomal RNA is filed under the name uncultured bacterium. RNAcentral describes it as "bacterial SSU rRNA". It matches the Rfam family "Bacterial small subunit ribosomal RNA", at positions 9 to 873 of the family's 1533-position model. The record is from RNAcentral.
AGAGUUUGAUCCUGGCUCAGGACGAACGCUGGCGGCGUGCCUAAUACAUGCAAGUCGAGCGGACCGAAAGGAGAGCUCGCUCUCCUUUCGGUCAGCGGCGGACGGGUGAGUAACACGUGGGUAACCUGCCUGUAAGACCGGGAUAACUCGCGGAAACGCGAGCUAAUACCGGAUAGGUCCCGUGGCCGCAUGGCGACGGGAGGAAAGAUGGCGCGAGCUAUCGCUUACAGAUGGGCCCGCGGCGCAUUAGCUAGUUGGUGGGGUAACGGCCCACCAAGGCGACGAUGCGUAGCCGACCUGAGAGGGUGAUCGGCCACAUUGGGACUGAGACACGGCCCAAACUCCUACGGGAGGCAGCAGUAGGGAAUCUUCCGCAAUGGGCGAAAGCCUGACGGAGCAACGCCGCGUGAGCGAAGAAGGCCUUCGGGUCGUAAGGCUCUGUUGUCAGGGAAGAACAAGUACCGGAGUAACUGCCGGUACCUUGACGGUACCUGACCAGAAAGCCCCGGCUAACUACGUGCCAGCAGCCGCGGUAAUACGUAGGGGGCGAGCGUUGUCCGGAAUCAUUGGGCGUAAAGCGCGCGCAGGCGGUCCCUUAAGUCUGAUGUGAAAUCUUGCGGCUCAACCGCGAGAGGUCAUUGGAAACUGGGGGACUUGAGUGCAGGAGAGGGAAGCGGAAUUCCAUGUGUAGCGGUGAAAUGCGUAGAGAUAUGGAGGAACACCAGUGGCGAANGCGGCUUCCUGGCCUGUAACUGACGCUCAGGCGCGAAAGCGUGGGGAGCAAACAGGAUUAGAUACCCUGGUAGUCCACGCCGUAAACGAUGAGUGCUAGGUGUUGGAGGGGUUUCCCCUUCAGUGCUGGAGCUAACGCAUUAAGCACUCCGCCU